This 108-nucleotide small nuclear RNA is filed under the name Gorilla gorilla gorilla (western lowland gorilla). Its description in RNAcentral is "U2 spliceosomal RNA". It matches the Rfam family "U2 spliceosomal RNA". Rfam says of the family: U2 is a small nuclear RNA (snRNA) component of the spliceosome (involved in pre-mRNA splicing). Complementary binding between U2 snRNA (in an area lying towards the 5' end but 3' to hairpin I) and the branchpoint sequence (BPS) of the intron results the bulging out of an unpaired adenosine, on the BPS, which initiates a nucleophilic attack at the intronic 5' splice site, thus starting the first of two transesterification reactions that mediate splicing. Lineage: Eukaryota; Metazoa; Chordata; Mammalia; Primates; Hominidae. The record is from Rfam by way of RNAcentral.
AUCGCUUCUUGGCCUUUUGGCUAAGAUCAAGUGUAUUAUUAUUAUAGAAUGGGUUCUCAGAUAAAGAAAAAAACUAAGAAUUUUCUCAGAUUUUUGGGAGUAUUUCAU